CUGACGUUGAAAGGACGAAGGCUUGGGGCACCAACAGGAUUAGAUACCCUAGCAGUCCUAGCAGAAAAUUAUGAAUGUCAUAGGUUAGAUUAGAAUGUAGGUUAGAGUAUUCAAAUAUUCUAAAUCAAAACAAUUCCUGGUUAUUAUUUUAUAUGGCCAGACAAAAAUUUUUGUCUAUAAAUGAAAGUGUAAGCAUUCCACCUCAAGAGUAAUGUGGCAACGCAGAAACUGAAAUCAUUAGACCGUUUCUGAAACCAGUAGUGAAGUAUGUUGUUUAAAUUGAUGAUCCACAAAAAACCUUACCACAAUUUGUAUAUUAUUUAUAAUACAAGAGUUGCACGGCUGUCUUCAGUUAAUGUCGUGAGAUCUUGGUUAGUUCCAUUAAUUAACGUAAACCCUUACUUUAUUUUUAUUAUAAAGUAGUUCACCGCUAUAUUGGAUUAGAUAACAGGGAAUAAGACAAGUCAUCAUGACCUUAAUAUUGUGGGCUAUAGACGUUGCCACAUA
Molecule: ribosomal RNA, 507 nt
Filed under: Baeomyces rufus
Lineage: Eukaryota; Fungi; Ascomycota; Lecanoromycetes; Baeomycetales; Baeomycetaceae
Description: SSU rRNA
Rfam family: Bacterial small subunit ribosomal RNA
Source: RNAcentral